CCUACGGGAGGCAGCAGUGAGGAAUAUUGGUCAAUGGGCGGAAGCCUGAACCAGCCAAGUAGCGUGCAGGAUGACGGCCCUACGGGUUGUAAACUGCUUUUAUACGGGAAUAACGCGCCUUACGUGUAGGGCUUUGCAUGUACCGUAUGAAUCAGGACCGGCUAAUUCCGUGCCAGCAGCCGCGGUAAUACGGAUGGGCCGGGCGUUAUCCGGAUUUAUUGGGUUUAAAGGGAGCGUAGGCGGCAUGUCAAGCGUGCUGUGAAAUGUCCGGGCUCAACCCGGGCCUUGCAGCGCGAACUGGCGUGCUGGAGUGCGCGGAAGGCAGGCGGAAUUCGUCGUGUAGCGGUGAAAUGCGUAGAUAUGACGAAGAACCCCGAUGGCGAAGGCAGCUUGCUGCAGCGGAACUGACGUUGAUGCUCGAAAGCGCGGGUAUCGAACAGGAUUAGAUACCCGUGUAGUC
This 460-nucleotide ribosomal RNA is filed under the name uncultured bacterium. RNAcentral describes it as "partial 16S ribosomal RNA". It matches the Rfam family "Bacterial small subunit ribosomal RNA", at positions 338 to 795 of the family's 1533-position model. The record is from RNAcentral.